This 443-nucleotide ribosomal RNA is filed under the name uncultured bacterium. RNAcentral's name for it is "partial 16S ribosomal RNA". It matches the Rfam family "Bacterial small subunit ribosomal RNA", at positions 338 to 795 of the family's 1533-position model. The record is from RNAcentral.
CCUACGGGUGGCUGCAGUGGGGAAUAUUGGGCAAUGGGCGCAAGCCUGAUCCAGCAACGCCGCGUGAAGGAAGAAGGCUUUCGGGUCGUAAACUUCUUUCGACAGGGACGAAGCAAGUGACGGUACCUGACGAAUAAGCCACGGCUAACUACGUGCCAGCAGCCGCGGUAAUACGUAGGUGGCAAGCGUUAUCCGGAUUUACUGGGUGUAAAGGGCGGGUAGGCGGGAAUGUAAGCCAGAUGUGAAAACUAUGGGCUUAACCCAUAGCUUGCAUUUGAAACUAUAUUGCUUGAGUGCAGGAGAGGAAAUCGGAAUUCCGAGUGUAGCGGUGAAAUGCGUAGAUAUACGGAGGAACACCAGUGGCGAAGGCGGAUUGCUGGACAGUAACUGACGCUGAGGCGCGAAAGCGUGGGGAGCAAACAGGAUUAGAUACCCGGGUAGUC